GGCUCUUUAGCUCAGUCGGUUAGAGCGACGGAAUCAUAAUCCGCAGGUCCCCCGUUCGAAUCGGGAAGAGCCA
Molecule: transfer RNA, 73 nt
Organism: Pelistega indica
Lineage: Bacteria; Pseudomonadati; Pseudomonadota; Betaproteobacteria; Burkholderiales; Alcaligenaceae
Rfam family: tRNA
About the family: Transfer RNA (tRNA) molecules are approximately 80 nucleotides in length. Their secondary structure includes four short double-helical elements and three loops (D, anti-codon, and T loops). Further hydrogen bonds mediate the characteristic L-shaped molecular structure. tRNAs have two regions of fundamental functional importance: the anti-codon, which is responsible for specific mRNA codon recognition, and the 3' end, to which the tRNAs corresponding amino acid is attached (by aminoacyl-tRNA synthetases). tRNAs cope with the degeneracy of the genetic code in two manners: having more than one tRNA (with a specific anti-codon) for a particular amino acid; and 'wobble' base-pairing, i.e. permitting non-standard base-pairing at the 3rd anti-codon position.
Source: Rfam